CCCCCCCCACUGCAGGCCCCGCCCCGCCGGCCCCGCCCCCGCGGCGCGCUCCCGGCCGGGAGGCGUGUGCGCCCCUGCAGCGCCGAGCGCGGGGGGAUGCGUACUGCGGGAGCCGCUCGGGCUAACAAGUGCUCGCUGCUGUCUAGGAUUUUGCUUCUUUUCCUGGGGAGCCUUGACUUCCUUUCCCAGCUGGCCCUCCUGUGCUGAACUCCGGAGGAGCCCGAGUUUUGGGGUGUUCCCGGGGGCAACCCGACCCCCGCCCCGAGAUCCAGCGGCGAGGACCUUGCGCCCCCGGCCAGGCGACAGAACUUGUUCCGUGGAUGUCCUGGAGCCUCCACCUGCCUCCCCGGAGUGGUUCCUUCUUCCCGAGAUCACUCGUCCCCUCCUCCAGCUGUUGCCGCUGAGCGGGGGGAACCGACACCGGGGAUUCUCUUUAUUUUUGUUGUGCACCCCGCCUGGAUCGGUGACGCACUGCUUCUGCAUGAUUUUAGCUGAAGGAUGCUCUGCAUUUCCUUGAUUCCUAUGGAGACCUCAGAGCUGGGUUGGCCCCUGCUGAUACCUCAUCUUGCGCCUUCUCAACCUCCCAAGGUCUUUGCCUCUGUCCAUAGCCUGGCAUUGCCCCUGGGUCCAGGAAGCCUGUGAUGAACUUAAGGGGGGAGCCUGGAGAGUCAGCCUGAGAGGCUUGGAGGGGCAAUGGCCGCACAUACUGCAAGUCACAUGUUGACGUGGGUCAAGCCGUCACUAGAAGGCAAGUGCUAAGACUAAAGGCUUAUUUGCAUUUUAUUUAAAUACGAUGGACUGGGCUUUGGACAAUUUCCAUGGAAGAAAAAUAUAUUCCAUCUUCUAGGCACAACUGCUGGCUGUCAGAUACUUGCUGCCUUUGAAUCUUGCAGCAGCAUCACCAGCCACAUCCUAGACGUGUUUCCGAAUUUGAACAUCCACCCCAAAACGGGUGUUUGAGAGACCCCACCACUUCGGACUUGGGCUUGCGAGUGCUAGGUUGUGUAUCUCGACCAGCCAAGUUCUAGACAGCACUGUUGAAUCCCUGGGAGGAGAGAGCAUGGGGCGUGCUGAUUUAAAAACAGAAAAUGCAAAGCUGGACUGAAAAUAUCCCUGGUCUUCCAGGCAAUCUGCUUAAGGGUUCCAAACUUACCUUAAUUUGGUGAGAAAAGAAGCUGCCCUAUUUUUCUUUCUUCUGCUUCUGCAACUGGAACCAGCCAUUCCCGAAAGCCAUCACCAUGGAGGUCGCGAUGGUGAGCGCGGAGAGCUCAGGGUGCAACAGCCAUAUGCCUUAUGGCUACGCGGCCCAGGCCCGCGCCCGGGAGCGCGAGCGCCUGGCGCACUCGAG
This 1348-nucleotide long non-coding RNA is filed under the name Equus asinus (donkey). RNAcentral describes it as "lncRNA (ENSEASG00005023941.1)". The stretch from base 982 to 1241 matches the Rfam family "Voltage-gated potassium-channel Kv1.4 IRES". Lineage: Eukaryota; Metazoa; Chordata; Mammalia; Perissodactyla; Equidae. The record is from RNAcentral.